UAACCGGAUUAGAUACCCUGGGUAGUCCACGCCGUAAACGAUGAGUGCUAGCUGUUGGGUGGUUUACCAUUCAGUGGCGCAGCUAACGCAUUAAGCACUCCUCCUGGGGAGUACGGUCGCAAGAUUAAAACUCAAAGGAAUUGACGGGGGCCCGCACAAUCGGUGGAGCAUGUGGUUUAAUUCAAUGCAACUCACAGAACCUUACCAGCCCUUGACAUGUAUAGGACGAUAUCAGAGAUGGCAUUUUCUUUUCGGAGACCUUUACACAGGUGCUGCAUG
RNAcentral lists this ribosomal RNA (279 nucleotides) under uncultured Candidatus Liberibacter sp. Its description in RNAcentral is "partial 16S ribosomal RNA". It matches the Rfam family "Bacterial small subunit ribosomal RNA", at positions 770 to 1047 of the family's 1533-position model. Lineage: Bacteria; Pseudomonadati; Pseudomonadota; Alphaproteobacteria; Hyphomicrobiales; Rhizobiaceae. The record is from RNAcentral.